CCUACGGGUGGCAGCAGUGGGGAAUAUUGCACAAUGGGCGCAAGCCUGAUGCAGCCAUGCCGCGUGUGUGAAGAAGGCCUUCGGGUUGUAAAGCACUUUCAGCGGGGAGGAAGGCGGUGAGGUUAAUAACCUCAUCGAUUGACGUUACCCGCAGAAGAAGCACCGGCUAACUCCGUGCCAGCAGCCGCGGUAAUACGGAGGGUGCAAGCGUUAAUCGGAAUUACUGGGCGUAAAGCGCACGCAGGCGGUCUGUCAAGUCGGAUGUGAAAUCCCCGGGCUCAACCUGGGAACUGCAUUCGAAACUGGCAGGCUAGAGUCUUGUAGAGGGGGGUAGAAUUCCAGGUGUAGCGGUGAAAUGCGUAGAGAUCUGGAGGAAUACCGGUGGCGAAGGCGGCCCCCUGGACAAAGACUGACGCUCAGGUGUGAAAGCGUGGGGAGCAAACAGGAUUAGAUACCCGAGUAGUC
RNAcentral lists this ribosomal RNA (465 nucleotides) under uncultured Klebsiella sp. Its description in RNAcentral is "bacterial SSU rRNA". It matches the Rfam family "Bacterial small subunit ribosomal RNA", at positions 338 to 795 of the family's 1533-position model. Lineage: Bacteria; Pseudomonadati; Pseudomonadota; Gammaproteobacteria; Enterobacterales; Enterobacteriaceae. The record is from RNAcentral.